Molecule: non-coding RNA, 72 nt
Organism: Ictidomys tridecemlineatus (thirteen-lined ground squirrel)
Lineage: Eukaryota; Metazoa; Chordata; Mammalia; Rodentia; Sciuridae
Source: Rfam
UGGGAUGUAGCUCAGUGGUAGAGCACUUGCCUAGCACGUGGGAGGUGCUGGGUUCUAUCUCCAGCACUACAA